Long non-coding RNA from Teleopsis dalmanni, 243 nucleotides. RefSeq lists it as uncharacterized. The record is from RefSeq and is a predicted model, not a curated record. NCBI's taxonomy places the organism in Eukaryota, Metazoa, Arthropoda, Insecta, Diptera, Diopsidae. The transcript is spliced from 2 exons.
UCGUUGAAUUUUUCACAAAAUCACAGGCGGCAAGGUUAAGACGUCAAGGAUUUGCUCAAUCAAAGAACAAUAAAGAAAAUAACAAAGGUACACCACUUCGUGAUGCCCCACCACCAACACCAAUUACCAAAGGCAUAAACUUAACAACCACACCAAUUGUCAAGAAGGAAAAACGGCAGACAAGUUCAAGAUAUAAUGUCUCAAAAAAUUGCGAACUAACACCACUGAAUCCUCUGAAUGAAA